Long non-coding RNA from Heterocephalus glaber (naked mole-rat), 618 nucleotides. Lineage: Eukaryota; Metazoa; Chordata; Mammalia; Rodentia; Bathyergidae. The record is from Ensembl.
CUAGGGACAGGAACCAUGCCUAUCUUAUGCACUCUUAACAGCAUUUAAUGUAGUAGAUUCCACAUAGCAAUGUCAGCAGGUUCUUUAAUACAUGGUUUUUCUUUUCCUCCAGGAAUGAUAAGUGUUGGCAAUUUUGGAGUCCAUGCAGGUCUACUAUUAUUGUAAAAAUAUGUCAACAGAAUCUGGAUUCUCCUUCAAGACUUAGGAUGACUGGAAGCACAAGCUACAGUGACAGAUCUGUAAACAAGGAAAAAAACAGACUCUAGAAGUGCACAGUCUGAAGCAUCUAGGGAGUGGGGAUCUCUUAAAGGUGGAUUCUGAUGACGGCCUUAUAAAAAAUCACUUAUUCACUUCUUAAAAUCCUGAAAGGGACCACACAGCCCCAGAAGGAAGAUUAAAAAAUUUACACAUCAAACAAAACUUUCCGAGGACUUCUAUGGACUCAACUCAGUGUCAGAGAAAAGAAAAAAAAAUGAAAAUGAAAAAUGAAGAAAUAUGGUUCCAAGUCUGAUUCUUCCUUGCCCAAGACACAGUUGAAAAAAACUUGUUUUAGAUGAGUCAUUCAAAUGGAAUAAUUUUCCUUUGGAUUACUAGAGUCAUUAAGGAAAAAAAAAGCAU